GAUGCGGCUGCCAUUGAGGAUGGCUCUUGAGGAGCGAUGGUGAUGCCCAGCAUUUGAACAAUGCUGAGCAGUGUUCUGAGUGGGCCCAAGGGAGCUGGAGGAAGAAAGGGGCAUGCCCCAAGAAGGCGUGGAGCCUUGCGGGGAGCAGGUCGCUCACAUCCAGGAGGAGCAGGGUGAGGUGAGCAUCAGUCCGGGAGCGGACGUAGAGCCCGGCGUAGGGCCAUCACCUCGUCGGCGCUGUCCCCGUCGCCCAGCGCCGUUCCUGUUUUACAGGUGUGUGGCGGACCUCGGUGUGGGGAGCUAUAGCCCAGCAGUUGGGAUGGGAGAGCGGAGCAGGAAAAGGUGUGGGAGCGAAUGCCUGAUGUGGAUGGGCUGUGGUGUUGCGGGCAUC
Dromaius novaehollandiae (emu) is the source of this 391-nucleotide long non-coding RNA. RefSeq lists it as uncharacterized. The record is from RefSeq and is a predicted model, not a curated record. The transcript is spliced from 3 exons. Lineage: Eukaryota; Metazoa; Chordata; Aves; Casuariiformes; Dromaiidae.